Molecule: ribosomal RNA, 464 nt
Filed under: uncultured bacterium
Lineage: Bacteria
Description: partial 16S ribosomal RNA
Rfam family: Bacterial small subunit ribosomal RNA
Source: RNAcentral
UUCCAGACUCCUACGGGAGGCAGCAGUGAGGAAUAUUGGUCAAUGGGCGAGAGCCUGAACCAGCCAAGUCGCGUGAGGGAGUACUGCCCUAUGGGUUGUAAACCUCUUUUGUCGGGGAGCAAAAGCCGGACGUGUCCGGCUGUGAGAGUACCCGAAGAAAAAGCAUCGGCUAACUCCGUGCCAGCAGCCGCGGUAAUACGUAGGUGGCGAGCGUUAUCCGGAAUGAUUGGGCGUAAAGGGUGCGUAGGCGGUCGAUUAAGUCUGGAGUGAAAGGUACCGGCUCAACCGGUAUAGGCUCCGGAAACUGAUGGACUGGAGUACAGGAGAGGGUGGCGGAACUCCAUGUGUAGCGGUAAAAUGCGUAGAUAUAUGGAAGAACACCGGUGGCGAAGGCGGCCGCCCGGACUGUAACUGACGCUGAGGCACGAAAGCGUGGGGAGCAAAUAGGAUUAGAUACCCCCGUA